This 500-nucleotide ribosomal RNA is filed under the name uncultured bacterium. RNAcentral's name for it is "bacterial SSU rRNA". It matches the Rfam family "Bacterial small subunit ribosomal RNA", at positions 28 to 517 of the family's 1533-position model. The record is from RNAcentral.
GAUGAACGCUAGCGGCAGGCUUAACACAUGCAAGUCGAGGGGCAGCAUGAUGAAACUUUCGGGUUUCAUUGAUGGCGACCGGCGCAAGGGUGCGUAACGCGUGAGCAACUUGCCCUUAUCAGGGGGAUAACCGGUGGAAACGCCGACUAAUACCCCAUAGUAUCACUUCAAGGCAUCUUUUAGUGAUUAAAGAAUUUCGGAUAAGGAUAGGCUCGCGUGACAUUAGCUAGAUGGCGGGGUAACGGCCCACCAUGGCGACGAUGUCUAGGGGUUCUGAGAGGAAGGUCCCCCACACUGGAACUGAGACACGGUCCAGACUCCUACGGGAGGCAGCAGUGAGGAAUAUUGGUCAAUGGUCGGAAGACUGAACCAGCCAAGUAGCGUGAAGGAUGAAGGUUCUAUGGAUUGUAAACUUCUUUUGUUGGGAAUAAAAGACGCUACGUGUAGCGUUGUGCAUGUACCUUACGAAUAAGCAUCGGCUAAUUCCGUGCCAGCAGCCG